Molecule: ribosomal RNA, 234 nt
Filed under: uncultured Candidatus Saccharibacteria bacterium
Lineage: Bacteria; Candidatus Saccharimonadota
Description: partial 16S ribosomal RNA
Rfam family: Bacterial small subunit ribosomal RNA
Source: RNAcentral
UAAGCGAAGCAUGAAAGCGUACGGCCCAACCGUAUAAACAUGUUUCGAACUGCUAAGCUAGAGAGUGAGAGGGGUCGCUAGAAUUCCUGGUGUAGGGGUAAAUCCGUAGAUAUCAGGAGGAAUACCAAUGGCGUAGGCAGGCGACUGGCUCAUUUCUGACACUCAGACACGAAAGCGUGGGUAGCGAUCGGGAUUAGAUACCCCGGUAGUCCACGCCGUAAACGAUGGAUGCUA